AGAGUUUGAUCAUGGCUCAGGACGAACGCUGGCGGCGUGCCUAAUACAUGCAAGUCGAGCGCGUGAAACUUUUGGAUCCCUUCGGGGUGAAGAUUGUGGAUCGAGCGGCGGACGGGUGAGUAACACGUGGGCAACCUGCCUGUAAGCCUGGGAUAACUUCGGGAAACCGGAGCUAAUACCGGAUAUCUUUGAGAUCACAUGAUAUCAAAGUGAAAGAUGGUUCUGCCAUCACUUACAGAUGGGCCCGCGGCGCAUUAGCUAGUUGGUAGGGUAAUGGCCUACCAAGGCGACGAUGCGUAGCCGACCUGAGAGGGUGAUCGGCCACACUGGGACUGAGACACGGCCCAGACUCCUACGGGAGGCAGCAGUAGGGAAUCUUCGGCAAUGGACGAAAGUCUGACCGAGCAACGCCGCGUGAGCGAUGAAGGUCUUCGGAUCGUAAAGCUCUGUUGUCAGAGAAGAACAAGUGGUAGAGGAAAUGCUAUUACCUUGACGGUAUCUGACCAGAAAGCCCCGGCUAACUACGUGCCAGCAGCCGCGGUAAUACGUAGGGGGCAAGCGUUGUCCGGAAUUAUUGGGCGUAAAGCGCGCGCAGGCGGUUCUUUAAGUCUGAUGUGAAAGCCCACGGCUCAACCGUGGAGGGUCAUUGGAAACUGGAGAACUUGAGUGCAGAAGAGGAGAGUGGAAUUCCACGUGUAGCGGUGAAAUGCGUAGAUAUGUGGAGGAACACCAGUGGCGAAAGCGGCUCUCUGGUCUGUAACUGACGCUGAGGCGCGAAAGCGUGGGGAGCAAACAGGAUUAGAUACCCCCGUAGUCC
This 817-nucleotide ribosomal RNA is filed under the name uncultured bacterium. RNAcentral's name for it is "bacterial SSU rRNA". It matches the Rfam family "Bacterial small subunit ribosomal RNA", at positions 8 to 796 of the family's 1533-position model. The record is from RNAcentral.